GACGAACGCUGGCGGCGUGCUUAACACAUGCAAGUCGAACGGAAAGGCCCUGCUUUUGUGGGGUGCUCGAGUGGCGAACGGGUGAGUAACACGUGAGUAACCUGCCCUUGACUUUGGGAUAACUUCAGGAAACUGGGGCUAAUACCGGAUAGGAGCUCCUGCUGCAUGGUGGGGGUUGGAAAGUUUCGGCGGUUGGGGAUGGACUCGCGGCUUAUCAGCUUGUUGGUGGGGUAGUGGCUUACCAAGGCUUUGACGGGUAGCCGGCCUGAGAGGGUGACCGGCCACAUUGGGACUGAGAUACGGCCCAGACUCAUACGGGAGGCAGGAGUGGGGAAUAUUGCACAAUGGGCGGAAGCCGGAUGCAGCAACGCCGCGUGCGGGAGGACGGCCUUCGGGUUGUAAACCGCUUUCGCCUGUGACGAAGCGUGAGUGACGGUAAUGGGGAAAGAAGCACCGGCUAACUACGU
This 467-nucleotide ribosomal RNA is filed under the name uncultured bacterium. RNAcentral describes it as "partial 16S ribosomal RNA". It matches the Rfam family "Bacterial small subunit ribosomal RNA", at positions 28 to 506 of the family's 1533-position model. The record is from RNAcentral.